RNAcentral lists this long non-coding RNA (207 nucleotides) under Ananas comosus (pineapple). Its description in RNAcentral is "long non-coding RNA (ACOM_LNC024701)". Lineage: Eukaryota; Viridiplantae; Streptophyta; Magnoliopsida; Poales; Bromeliaceae. The record is from RNAcentral.
UUUUUACAUAAAUUAGUGAGAUUAUUAUUAUUAUUAUUAUUAUUAUUAUUUUGAGAGAUAAGUAGCACGCUAUCCACUUUAUUUAUUUUAUUUAGAAAUAAAUUUAGGUGGAAAUAAUAAUUUAUCAUAUCACCUUAUCCACUUUAUUUAUUUAUUUAUUUAUUUUUUUAACUAGAUGAGAUUUUUUGGAAGUAGCGAGAAAGAGUU